RNAcentral lists this ribosomal RNA (330 nucleotides) under uncultured bacterium. Its description in RNAcentral is "bacterial SSU rRNA". It matches the Rfam family "Bacterial small subunit ribosomal RNA", at positions 568 to 898 of the family's 1533-position model. The record is from RNAcentral.
UGCGUAGGCGGCGAUGUAAGUCAGAUGUGAAAUCCCCGGGCUCAACUCGGGUUCUGCAUUUGAAACUACAUUGCUUGAGUGCAGGAGAGGAAAGCGGAAUUCCUAGUGUAGCGGUGAAAUGCGUAGAUAUUAGGAAGAACACCAGUGGCGAAGGCGGCUUUCUGGACUGUAACUGACGCUGAGGCACGAAAGCGUGGGGAGCAAACAGGAUUAGAUACCCUGGUAGUCCACGCUGUAAACGAUGGAUACUAGGUGUGGGGGACGUACAACCUCCGUGCCGGAGCUAACGCAAUAAGUAUCCCGCCUGGGGAGUACGGUCGCAAGACUGAA